Molecule: ribosomal RNA, 442 nt
Filed under: uncultured bacterium
Lineage: Bacteria
Description: partial 16S ribosomal RNA
Rfam family: Bacterial small subunit ribosomal RNA
Source: RNAcentral
CCUACGGGUGGCAGCAGUGAGGAAUAUUGGUCAAUGGCCGUAAGGCUGACCCAGCAAUGCCGCGUGAAGGAAGAAGGCUUUCGGGUUGUAAACUUCUUUGACAGGGGACGAGCAGAAGACGGUACCCUGAAAACAAGCCACGGCUAACUACGUGCCAGCAGCCGCGGUAAUACGUAGGUGGCAAGCGUUGUCCGGAUUUACUGUGUGUAAAGGGCGUGUAGCCGGGAAGGCAAGUCAGAUGUGAAAUCUGGAGGCUCAACCUCCAAAUUGCAUUUGAAACUGUUUUUCUUGAGUACUGGAGAGGCAGACGGAAUUCCUUGUGUAGCGGUGAAAUGCGUAGAUAUAAGGAGGAACACCAGUGGCGAAGGCGGUCUGCUGGACAGCAACUGACGGUGAGGCGCGAAAGCGUGGGGAGCAAACAGGAUUAGAUACCCGUGUAGUC